ACACCUUCUUGGACAGUUGGGGGCCCACGUAUCACUGUAAACGAAAUUUCAUACUUUAAUUAUCUUUAUUAUUAUAUGAAUAAAUUUAUUUUACUCUUACGCUACAAAAGUUAUUUUAGGAAGACUUUGAAAAUAUUGUGUUUUAAGAAAAUAGAAUAUUUUAUUUAAUGUUUUUAUUAUAUUCAAAUAGCUAUAAUUUUACUUUAAACGAAUGUUUUAGACUUAAAAAUUUAAUUUAAAUCAUGAAAUAUGUGUUUCCACUU
This 263-nucleotide long non-coding RNA is filed under the name Theobroma cacao (cacao). RNAcentral describes it as "long non-coding RNA (TCAC_LNC003770)". The record is from RNAcentral. Lineage: Eukaryota; Viridiplantae; Streptophyta; Magnoliopsida; Malvales; Malvaceae.